CCUCUCUCGGGACGGCGGUUGUGGUGGCGAUGGGUCGGUGCCGGACGGGUUCCGCGGCUCCUCAUCAACUCCGCCCGCUCCUGCCGCUGAAGGCGGAAGGGCCGUCCGGUGAGUGGGCUGACUGGGAUGGGAUGGCUCGGCUCCUUCAACCUAACUUCUUGGCUGUGCGGAUGUGUCGCGGAGAGAGGCCGUGAUAGAGUCGGAUGGGACCGAGUAGAGCCGCUCUCAUGCUCUCGGGUCUCUGUGUCUGCUUCCUCGGGAGAUGGCGCUGCUGCGACGGAGAGAGGCCCGAGCACUCCCCUCCACGUGGUCGACCCAGGCUCGGUUUGCAGAAUACUUCUGAUUGAAAAGUCAUAAAUCGUGAACAGCCAGUGUCCUAUUGAAACGUUGCACUACACGGACUAAAGACUACUUAACCACUGAAGAAGAUUAUUUCAUAGGGCUAUCUUGAGUGGAUCAUCGUUAAAAGUCCCUUGAUGUUGGCAAUGAAACUGCAGAAGGCUCCAGGCUGGACAUGUUUGAAAUUCAUGCUUGGUCACAAGCCUAAUACUUGAUGCUAUUCAUGACUUGUGUAUCCCUCAACAUUUUAUUUGUAUGUAUUCUGUUCAAUGUAAUCUAGAAUAUGUUGAACUUUAUUAUUUACAGGUGUCGGUGUAAUUAUCUUAAAUUUGUAUAUUUUGGUAACUGAAAAGCAUAGCUGGUAAUUAAUCAAAAGCAGUGAAAAUUUCUUGAAGUAGCAAAUAUUUUCCUUUACCUCCAUUGAAAAUUUCUAUGUAUUAAAUGUUUUGCUAGGAACUGGUGCAUUGGUUAGUUUCUGCAGUGGAAUAUUCCUAAAAGUCAUAGCAUGAUUUUUGAGAAGGCAGUUUUGAGCACUUUUUUCAAGCAAUUAUUGUCUUAUAAGUUGCAUAAUUGUGUCAGAAUAAUGACAUUGCCAAUAAAGGCUAUAAGUAGAUCAAGACUAUAAACUAUGGUCUAAUAGUUGUGUAUGCUGUGAUGAAUCAUUCAGAGCUUGUCUGGCCAGUGUUGGGUAGUGAUAAUAUUCUAACUUAUUUUUUCCUUGGUCUAUGAAAGCAGGCAACAAAAUCCAUGUAUACCUACACUUUUGGAGGGUAUUGUGUAUUUGAAUCCAGAGAUGCCUCUAUUUGUAUUUCUUAGUACUCUAUCAUUUUGUUAUAAAUGUCUUAGCCCUA
Long non-coding RNA from Hypanus sabinus (Atlantic stingray), 1190 nucleotides. RefSeq lists it as uncharacterized. The transcript has 4 exons. The record is from RefSeq and is a predicted model, not a curated record. Lineage: Eukaryota; Metazoa; Chordata; Chondrichthyes; Myliobatiformes; Dasyatidae.